UGUCUUAGCGAGCACACUUCCCCUUUAACCCAUAGGUAGCCGAGCUACGAAGACUCUGAUUCUCAGAUUCAGAUGAGAUACGUAUGCAGUGGAUGCGACAUCCGUGCGAGUCAUUUUCUUUUGACCUUUCUUUUAGUAAGUAGUACAUUAGAUAAACAUACACGCUUUUCUCAUCCCUUCAAUCAUGUUUGCACAAAUAA
RNAcentral lists this long non-coding RNA (200 nucleotides) under Lathyrus oleraceus (garden pea). Its description in RNAcentral is "Pisum sativum (pea) long non-coding RNA (PSAT_LNC000749)". The record is from RNAcentral. Lineage: Eukaryota; Viridiplantae; Streptophyta; Magnoliopsida; Fabales; Fabaceae.